Molecule: unclassified non-coding RNA, 273 nt
Filed under: Hevea brasiliensis (rubber tree)
Lineage: Eukaryota; Viridiplantae; Streptophyta; Magnoliopsida; Malpighiales; Euphorbiaceae
Source: RNAcentral
ACCGCUUGGUUCUUCAGUAGCAAACAAACAGGAAGUAGGGAUAUAAAGAAAGGGCCAAUCUUGGCAACAAAAUAUGAAAACAAUACCACUUGGCAAGGAGAGAAGAAUCAAGCUUUCAGUUGCUGAGGUGCUAACUAACUACAGGCAGUGCCAAGAAAUCUUUUAAUUUUGGAAAGCUACGUUAAGUUCCCUCCAUGACACUCUUUUCUCAGUAAAAAAAAAAAAAGGAGUGUGCUUUUCAGUUUGAUUCAGGCAAAUAGCGAUUAUUUUACC